This 396-nucleotide ribosomal RNA is filed under the name uncultured bacterium. RNAcentral's name for it is "partial 16S ribosomal RNA". It matches the Rfam family "Bacterial small subunit ribosomal RNA", at positions 523 to 918 of the family's 1533-position model. The record is from RNAcentral.
AUACGUAGGGAGCGAGCGUUGUCCGGAAUUACUGGGUGUAAAGGGAGCGUAGGCGGGAGUGCAAGUCAGAUGUGAAAUACAUGGGCUCAACCCAUGGGCUGCAUUUGAAACUGCAUUUCUUGAGUGAAGUAGAGGUAAGCGGAAUUCCUGGUGUAGCGGUGAAAUGCGUAGAUAUCAGGAGGAACACCGGUGGCGAAGGCGGCUUACUGGGCUUUUACUGACGCUGAGGCUCGAAAGCGUGGGGAACAAACAGGAUUAGAUACCCUGGUAGUCCACGCUGUAAACGAUGAUUACUAGGUGUGGGGGGACUGACCCCUUCCGUGCCGCAGUUAACACAAUAAGUAAUCCACCUGGGGAGUACGGCCGCAAGGUUGAAACUCAAAUGAAUUGACGGGG